Molecule: ribosomal RNA, 890 nt
Filed under: uncultured Methanosaeta sp.
Lineage: Archaea; Methanobacteriati; Methanobacteriota; Methanomicrobia; Methanotrichales; Methanotrichaceae
Description: bacterial SSU rRNA
Rfam family: Archaeal small subunit ribosomal RNA
Source: RNAcentral
CAGAGGUUACUGCUAUSGACGRYUCGACUAAGCCAUGCGAGUUGAAUGUUCUUCGUGAACAUGGCGGACUGCUCAGUAACACGUGGACAACCUACCCUUGGGUCCGGCAUAAUCCUGGGAAACUGGGAAUAAUUCCGGAUAGGUCACCGAUGCUGGAAUGCGCGGUGGCCGAAAGCUCCGGCGCCCGAGGAUGGGUCUGCGGCCUAUCAGGGUUGUAGUGGGUGUAACGUACCUACUAGCCUACGACGGGUACGGGUUGUGAGAGCAAGAGCCCGGAGAUGGAUUCUGAGACACGAAUCCAGGCCCUACGGGGUGCAGCAGGCGCGAAAACUUUACAAUGCGGGAAACCGUGAUAAGGGGAUCUCGAGUGCCAGCAUAUAAUGUUGGCUGUCCAGAUGCCUAAAAAGCAUCUGUUAGCAAGGGCCGGGCAAGACCGGUGCCAGCCGCCGCGGUAACACCGGCGGCCCGAGUGGUAACCGCUAUUAUUGGGUCUAAAGGGUCUGUAGCCGGCCAGGUAAGUCCCUUGGGAAAUCUGGCAGCUCAACUGUCAGGCUGCUAGGGGAUACUGUUUGGCUUGGGACCGGGAGAGGUGAGAGGUACCUUGGGGGUAGGGGUGAAAUCUUGUGAUCCUCGAGGGACCACCAGUGGCGAAGGCGUCUCACCAGAACGGGUCCGACGGUAAGGGACGAAAGCUAGGGGCACGAACCGGAUUAGAUACCCGGGUAGUCCUAGCCGUAAACGAUGCUCGCUAGGUGUCAGUCACGGUGCGACCGUGAUUGGUGCCGUAGGGAAGCCGUGAAGCGAGCCACCUGGGAAGUAUGGCCGCAAGGCUGAAACUUAAAGGAAUUGGCGGGGGAGCACUACAWCGGKUGGAGCCUGCGGUUUAAUUG